Molecule: non-coding RNA, 299 nt
Organism: Peromyscus maniculatus bairdii (prairie deer mouse)
Lineage: Eukaryota; Metazoa; Chordata; Mammalia; Rodentia; Cricetidae
Source: RefSeq, a predicted model, not a curated record
UCCAGGGCUUCGGGGAUCACAGUCAGGGUGCCUGGCCUCUGGGAGGACCUGCCGCAUUUGUUCUUGAGAACUUUCCAUUCCAAUGUAUCUCAAGUUGUCGGGAGAGUUGCAAGGAGGAGUGAUAUAAGCCCAAGAAAAUCCUGCUUCCAGGAGGAAGUCAUUAGACAGAAAAUAAAAAAUUCAUCUGGAGCAGGGGCACAGAAAUAAUCCCAUUACCUCAUUAAAGACCUUGGAGACAACGUGCUUAUUCAGGAUGGGGACAUAGGUGGCGCUUCGGGGCACUACCGUCCCAGUCAAGG